AUUGAACGCUGGCGGCAUGCCUUACACAUGCAAGUCGAACGGCAGCACGGGAGCUUGCUCCUGGUGGCGAGUGGCGAACGGGUGAGUAAUACAUCGGAACGUACCCUGAAGUGGGGGAUAACGUAGCGAAAGUUACGCUAAUACCGCAUAUUCUGUGAGCAGGAAAGAGGGGGAUCGCAAGACCUCUUGCUUUAGGAGCGGCCGAUGUCGGAUUAGCUAGUUGGUGAGGUAAAGGCUCACCAAGGCGACGAUCCGUAGCGGGUCUGAGAGGAUGAUCCGCCACACUGGGACUGAGACACGGCCCAGACUCCUACGGGAGGCAGCAGUGGGGAAUUUUGGACAAUGGGCGCAAGCCUGAUCCAGCCAUGCCGCGUGAGUGAAGAAGGCCUCGGUUGUAAAG
RNAcentral lists this ribosomal RNA (400 nucleotides) under uncultured bacterium. RNAcentral's name for it is "bacterial SSU rRNA". It matches the Rfam family "Bacterial small subunit ribosomal RNA", at positions 30 to 430 of the family's 1533-position model. The record is from RNAcentral.